GAUGAACGCUGGCGGCGUGCUUAACACAUGCAAGUCGAACGGAAAGGCCCAAGCUUGCUUGGGUACUCGAGUGGCGAACGGGUGAGUAACACGUGGGUGAUCUGCCCUGCACUUCGGGAUAAGCCUGGGAAACUGGGUCUAAUACCGGAUAGGACCACUUCUUGGAUGUUGUGGUGGAAAGUUUUUUCGGUGUGGGAUGAGCUCGCGGCCUAUCAGCUUGUUGGUGGGGUAAUGGCCUACCAAGGCGUCGACGGGUAGCCGGCCUGAGAGGGUGUACGGCCACAUUGGGACUGAGAUACGGCCCAGACUCCUACGGGAGGCAGCAGUGGGGAAUAUUGCACAAUGGGCGCGAGCCUGAUGCAGCGACGCCGCGUGGGGGAUGACGGCCUUCGGGUUGUAAACUCCUUUCGCUAGGGACGAAGCGUUUUGUGACGGUACCUGGAGAAGAAGCACCGGCUAACUACGUG
Molecule: ribosomal RNA, 467 nt
Filed under: uncultured bacterium
Lineage: Bacteria
Description: partial 16S ribosomal RNA
Rfam family: Bacterial small subunit ribosomal RNA
Source: RNAcentral